UAAUUGGAAAGGAAAAGAAAAUGAAUCCCAAGACUUUCUCUUUUAGAACCGAUGGCCCUCACGCUCUCUCCUUUUUUGAACAGAGGAACUAUCUUCUUAAAAAAAAAACAAAAACAGAGGAAAUAGUGCUCUCUUCUCUCCUUAAAGCUUCUCCUUCUCUAUUAUGGCCGCUAGUACCGAAUCCGGCCUCGAUUUAACCUGAAUCCUCCUCAAAUGGCCGAAUCGGGGGGUUCGCAGAAUCCAAACUCAAACGAAAUGGAACAAACACGCAUAUGAAAAAGAAACAACACACCAUAUCGAGCAUGAACAGUCAAACAAAACGGCAAGGAUACAUCAGGCGCGAUUAAAUCGGAGCAACGAAGAACUUACCUCUUGAAGACUCCUUCAACAGGUGAGAGGUGGAAUUGGAGGGAGAGUUGGAGCCAAGAUUUUUGAAAUGAAAAUAAGUUUUAGUGUCCUGAUUCAUGCUUUCUGAUUUCAUAUUACUAUCUUACCGUUUUUGUGCAAGGUGUAAGGCAGGUCUGACAGCAGCAUUUUUGGACUGUUUUUGCUGCACUUUUUGGACAGCAAAAGUAACGGGAAGCAAUGCUUAAGAGUAGUCAAUUAUCUUGCCUUAGUAACUUUAUAGGUUUAGGAUACAUAGGCUAUUAGGAAGAUCUUAAAGUCCCACAUUAGUUGGAUUCAUAUUGAAUGCUAUUAGGAAGAUUUUAAAGUCCCAGGUUAGUUGGAGAUGUAAACUUGAAUGAGAAUGGUCAACAUGACUUGAGAUUUUGAAUGUUCAUGAAUUUCCUUGUGAAUUUAAUUUGAUGAACUUGUAUCUUAAAGUUUGUAUCAAAUUCUUGAAUUGAAUAGAAAUCUUUUCAUUAUAAA
Molecule: long non-coding RNA, 870 nt
Organism: Vicia villosa (hairy vetch)
Lineage: Eukaryota; Viridiplantae; Streptophyta; Magnoliopsida; Fabales; Fabaceae
Exons: 2
Source: RefSeq, a predicted model, not a curated record